UUAUUUUAUUGUGGGUGAGGUGAGAUAAGGGGUAGAAGCGAGAGAGAUGAGAGGAGGGCCGCUUGUUCCCGCCAUAUCGAUCUCAUCAUCAUCAUCAAUUGUGGGGUGUAUAAACACCCUUCGCCGCCAACAUUGCUCUCCACCUCUAGGGUUCCACACCAGCAAGUACUGGGACAAGUUCUACAAGCGCCAUCAAAACAAGUUCUUCAAGGACCGGCAUUACUUGGUAAAGGACUGGGGACAAUACUUCUACGGUGAUAAUACUGUAUCCCCAUAUGGGAAGGUCAUUUUAGAGGUUGGUUGUGGAGCUGGCAACACUAUUUUCCCACUGAUUGCUACAUGUCCUAAACUUUUUGUUCAUGCUUGUGACUUCUCGUCCCAUGCAAUCGCACUUGUUAAGUCACAUGUGGAUUUCAAUGUAGACCAAGUAAAUGCAUUUGUUUGUGAUGUUGCAAAUGAUGAUCUCUGUGACAAAAUGAUGCCUUCUUCUAUUGAUGUCGUUACCUUGAUUUUUAUGUUGUCUGCAGUUUGUCCAAAGAAGAUGCCCUUAAUAUUGAAGAACAUAAAGAAAGUAUUAAAGCCAAAUGGUUAUAUUCUUUUACGGGAUUACGCAAUAGGAGAUUAUGCUCAAGUAGAGUUACGCAAGAGGAAUCAGAUGAUUAGUGAGAACUUCUAUAUACGAGGAGAUGGUACUCAUUGUAGAUAUGGAUACAUACAGCAGACAAAUUCAGAAUCGUUCUCGGAACAUAACUAUGUCUCGGCGUUGGACACGAGCCACAUUUCGGCCAGUUUGAUUGUGGUGUUUUUCAAUGAUUUUUGGUGCUUUAAUGGGCCAGGUUAUGUGGUUGAAGGAUUGGCUACCCCUACCUGACCAAGACUACUACUUACUAGCAAGGCAGUUAAUAAAUUGCAAGGAUAGACAAAUACGGCACAAAGCAAUGGCUUUCAAGAAUUAUUUCAUUUUCAUUAUCCAUUUUGUCAGACCUUUUAGCCAUUUUUUUUUUUGCAUAUACUGUUUUUUCCAGUUAUAUUUAUUUCCUUCUACCACUGGUUGGCUGUGGAUAUUCGGCUUGAUUGUGGAAGGGGAAUGUAUGUAAGGUACACCUUCAGAGGUGAAAUCAGCCUAUUGUUGCUUUUGCAACACUUGAGGGCAUUGUUAUUUGUUUAUUUAUCUUUUUGGCAUUCAGUCACCAAGUGCUUGUAAUGCCUGCUGAGCAUUUGAACUUAGUAGGAUUUGAGGUUGCCUA
Camellia sinensis is the source of this 1247-nucleotide non-coding RNA. The record is from RefSeq and is a predicted model, not a curated record. NCBI's taxonomy places the organism in Eukaryota, Viridiplantae, Streptophyta, Magnoliopsida, Ericales, Theaceae.